UACGAAGGGGGCUAGCGUUGCUCGGAAUCACUGGGCGUAAAGGGUGCGUAGGCGGGGCUUUAAGUCAGGGGUGAAAUCCUGGAGCUCAACUCCAGAACUGCCUUUGAUACUGGCGAUCUUGAGUCCGGGAGAGGUGAGUGGAACUGCGAGUGUAGAGGUGAAAUUCGUAGAUAUUCGCAAGAACACCAGUGGCGAAGGCGGCUCACUGGCCCGGUACUGACGCUGAGGUGCGAAAGCGUGGGGAGCAAACAGG
Molecule: ribosomal RNA, 253 nt
Filed under: uncultured bacterium
Lineage: Bacteria
Description: partial 16S ribosomal RNA
Rfam family: Bacterial small subunit ribosomal RNA
Source: RNAcentral